GACGAACGCUGGCGGCGUGCUUAACACAUGCAAGUCGAACGAUGAACCCGGAGCUUGCUCCGGCGGAUUAGUGGCGAACGGGUGAGUAACACGUGAGUAACCUGCCCUUGACUCUGGGAUAACUGCUAGAAAUGGUAGCUAAUACCGGAUACGACCCUCGGUGGCAUCACCAGGGGGUGGAAAGAAUUUCGGUCAAGGAUGGACUCGCGGCCUAUCAGCUAGUUGGUGAGGUAACGGCUCACCAAGGCGACGACGGGUAGCCGGCCUGAGGGGGGGACCGGCCAAGCUGGGACUGAGACACGGCCCAGACUCCUACGGGAGGCAGCAGUGGGGAAUAUUGCACAAUGGGCGCAAGCCUGAUGCAGCAACGCCGCGUGAGGCAUGACGGCCUUCGGGUUGUAAACCUCUUUUAGUAGGGAAGAAGCGAAAGUGACGGUACCUGCAGAAAAAGCACCGGCUAACUACGUGCCAGCCGCCGCAGUAA
Molecule: ribosomal RNA, 484 nt
Filed under: uncultured bacterium
Lineage: Bacteria
Description: partial 16S ribosomal RNA
Rfam family: Bacterial small subunit ribosomal RNA
Source: RNAcentral